This 1346-nucleotide ribosomal RNA is filed under the name uncultured bacterium. RNAcentral's name for it is "partial 16S ribosomal RNA". It matches the Rfam family "Bacterial small subunit ribosomal RNA", at positions 28 to 1381 of the family's 1533-position model. The record is from RNAcentral.
GACGAACGCUGGCGGCGUGCUUAACACAUGCAAGUCGAACGGAAAGGCCCUGCUUUUGUGGGGUGCUCGAGUGGCGAACGGGUGAGUAACACGUGAGUAACCCGCCCUUGACUUUGGGAUAACUUCAGGAAACUGGGGCUAAUACCGGAUAGGAGCUCCUGCUGCAUGGUGGGGGUUGGAAAGUUUCGGCGGUUGGGGAUGGACUCGCGGCUUAUCAGCUUGUUGGUGGGGUAGUGGCUUACCAAGGCUUUGACGGGUAGCCGGCCUGAGAGGGUGACCGGCCACAUUGGGACUGAGAUACGGCCCAGACUCCUACGGGAGGCAGCAGUGGGGAAUAUUGCACAAUGGGCGGAAGCCUGAUGCAGCAACGCCGCGUGCGGGAUGACGGCCUUCGGGUUGUAAACCGCUUUCGCCUGUGACGAAGCGUGAGUGACGGUAAUGGGUAAAGAAGCACCGGCUAACUACGUGCCAGCAGCCGCGGUGAUACGUAGGGUGCGAGCGUUGUCCGGAUUUAUUGGGCGUAAAGGGCUCGUAGGUGGUUGAUCGCGUCGGAAGUGUAAUCUUGGGGCUUAACCCUGAGCGUGCUUUCGAUACGGGUUGACUUGAGGAAGGUAGGGGAGAAUGGAAUUCCUGGUAGAGCGGUGGAAUGCGCAGAUAUCAGGAGGAACACCAGUGGCGAAGGCGGUUCUCUGGGCCUUUCCUGACGCUGAGGAGCGAAAGCGUGGGGAGCGAACAGGCUUAGAUACCCUGGUAGUCCACGCUGUAAACGGUGGGUACUAGGUGUGGGGUCCAUUCCACGGGUUCCGUGCCGUAGCUAACGCUUUAAGUACCCCGCCUGGGGAGUACGGCCGCAAGGCUAAAACUCAAAGGAAUUGACGGGGCCCCGCACAAGCGGCGGAGCAUGCGGAUUAAUUCGAUGCAACGCGUAGAACCUUACCUGGGUUUGACAUGGAUCGGGAGUGCUCAGAGAUGGGUGUGCCUCUUUUGGGGUCGGUUCACAGGUGGUGCAUGGCUGUCGUCAGCUCGUGUCGUGAGAUGUUGGGUUAAGUCCCGCAACGAGCGCAACCCUUGUUCACUGUUGCCAGCACGUUAUGGUGGGGACUCAGUGGAGACCGCCGGGGUCAACUCGGAGGAAGGUGGGGAUGACGUCAAGUCAUCAUGCCCCUUAUGUCCAGGGCUUCACGCAUGCUACAAUGGCUGGUACAGAGAGUGGCGAGCCUGUGAGGGUGAGCGAAUCUCGGAAAGCCGGUCUCAGUUCGGAUUGGGGUCUGCAACUCGACCUCAUGAAGUCGGAGUCGCUAGUAAUCGCAGAUCAGCAACGCUGCGGUGAAUACGUUCCCGGGGCU